AAUGGAUCUAAGUAAAGUCAUUUACAAAUGUGUUCGCUGCAGCUCGGUAUACACAACUUGAAGUUGUUGAAGAUAUUAGAGGACAUGUUUGUCCAAUCCCUUUGGAACAGGCUAGUGCAUCGAAUGGGCCUAGUCAACUUCCACUAGGCCUACACAUUCCCGCUGCACCACUGCAUUUGCCUCCGGCUCCUGCACUACAGAAGUUAGCUCCUGCACCACUUAAUUUGCCUCCGGCUCCUGCACCACAGAAGUUGGCUCCUGCACCACUUAAUUUGUCUGUUGCUGGACCAUCACCUGCCUGUGCUCCAAAGUGGGCACCAUUCUCAACCCCCCAACAAAUGCAUAAAGAUACAAAACAAUAGUGGACAGUAAAAAGAAGACUGGGAGUGGUACCAGCAGCUGGGUCUUUUUCUCAUCAAUGGAGGACCUCCUGGCUGAUGAUCCCAGUGUGGAGCCGGUCCUGAUCGUGUCAUCUUUUGCUGGAUCUUCAUCAGAUCCAGUUGGCCCAGGACCAUCAACUUCACAAUCAUCAACUUCACAACCAUCAUCUUCACAACCAUCAUCUUCACAACCUAAGCCAUCAGCAGAACAUGGCAAAAAGAGAAGGCGCAUGUCUGAAGCAUCCGAGUGGUUUGAUCAGUAUGUCACUGAGCAGAGGAGGCAGAUGUCAGAACUCAUGGCCCUGCAAAAGCAAGCAGUAGAAGUGGCAAGCGAACGUAACAACAUCUUAAAAUAAUUUGUUUCUGCUUUUCUGCAAGAGGAAAUUGUGUAGAACACAUGCAGCUGUUAUAACCACUGGUACUUUUUAAGGUCUUCCAUGAUCAAAUAAUUCAGUCGUCUCCAUUUCCCCUUUAGAAGGCCAAAUGCCCUUUCAAUCACAACUCUGGUUGAGCUGUGGAGUGUGUUAAAUUUUUUUUGCCUUCAUGAUAAGUGCCCAUUAUCUCAGUAUGGUGUAAUGAGAGAUGUGCUGAGUGGGUAUGCGGAGUCUCCAAGCAGGUGGUAGUCACUUCUUAUUACAUCCUGGAGAUGGCCAUAUAAUGGGCAGUUCUGAAACACCCUAGCAUCGUGCACAGACCCCGGCCAACCAGUGUACACAUCCAGGAACAUCAUCUGUGAUGUACACACUGCUUGGUGUUGAAUACUUGCAUGUCCUUUCCUGUUUAUGUAACUGUUUCUAUGGAGUGUGGGUGCUGGGAUGGCAAUGUGUGUGCCAUUGAUUGCUCCAAUGACUCCAGGGAAGCCAGUUUUUUCCUGAAAGCCAUUUGCCAGGUUUGCAAACUCAUCCUCUCUGGGCCAUAGAAUGUAUUCAUUUCUCAGUGUACAAAUGACCUUGCAAAUGUCGGAAAAAAUAUAAUGAAGGGUUCCUUUUGACAUAUAAAACCGGUCUGCAAUACCCCUGAAGCUCUCUUGGUUUGCCAACAACCAAAUAGUUUAUACUAAAUCAUUUUCGGGGUGUCCAAGGUUAGGUUUGCCAGUAAAGGACCAACUUUCUCACAGAGAGCCUGUAGACAUUUAUAGUAGAAGUUUCUACAUCCCUAUGAUGCUGUAAAUAAGCUGACACAAAUCUUGCUAUGGCUGUUGUAUACACACUGAUGCACAUACUGCUAUAUACAAUUGGGAAUUUGUAAGUAAAUGUAAUUGACAUCAAAAUAAAUGCACA
Sinocyclocheilus grahami is the source of this 1660-nucleotide long non-coding RNA. Ensembl lists it as uncharacterized. The record is from Ensembl. NCBI's taxonomy places the organism in Eukaryota, Metazoa, Chordata, Actinopteri, Cypriniformes, Cyprinidae.